This 206-nucleotide ribosomal RNA is filed under the name uncultured bacterium. Its description in RNAcentral is "partial 16S ribosomal RNA". It matches the Rfam family "Bacterial small subunit ribosomal RNA", at positions 568 to 774 of the family's 1533-position model. The record is from RNAcentral.
CAUGUAGGCGGAAAUUUAAGUCUGUUGUGAAAAUGCGGGGCUCAACCCCGUAUUGCGAUGGAAACUGGGUUUCUUGAGUGCAGGAGAGGAAAGGGGAAUUCCCAGUGUAGCGGUGAAAUGCGUAGAUAUUGGGAGGAACACCAGUGGCGAAGGCGCCUUUCUGGACUGUGUCUGACGCUGAGAUGCGAAAGCUAGGGGAGCGAACG